UACAGAGGCCUCAAGCGUUAUCCGGAAUCAUUGGGCGUAAAGCGUACCGAUAGGUGGUUGACAAAGUCAGAGGUGAAAUCUCAAGGCUCAACCUUGAGUCUGUCCUUUGAUACUUGUAAACUUGAGGGGCAAAGAGGAAGCUGGAACAAACGGUGUAGUAGUGAAAUGCGUUGAUAUCGUUUGGAACACCAAGAGCGUAGGCAGGCUUCUGGGUGCCACCUGACACUGCUAGGACGAAAGCGUGGGGAGCGAAUGGG
This 257-nucleotide ribosomal RNA is filed under the name uncultured bacterium. RNAcentral describes it as "partial 16S ribosomal RNA". It matches the Rfam family "Bacterial small subunit ribosomal RNA", at positions 524 to 776 of the family's 1533-position model. The record is from RNAcentral.